UGAACUUAAGCAUAUCAAUAAGCGGAGGAAAAGAAACCAACAGGGAUUGCCCUAGUAACGGCGAGUGAAGCGGCAACAGCCCAAAUUUGAAAUCUGGCCCCCUGGGGUCCGAGUUGUAAUUUGGAGAGGAUGCCUCGGUGGAGGCCCCGGCCGAAGUGCCUUUGAACGGGCCGUCAGAGAGGGUGAGAACCCCGUCCGCGGUCGCCGGCCCCCACCGUGUGAGGCUCCUUCGACGAGUCGAGUUGUUUGGGAAUGCAGCUCUAAAUGGGAGGUAAAUUCCUUCCAAGGCUAAAUAUCCGCCAGAGACCGAUAGCGCACAAGUAGAGUGAUCGAAAGGUGAAAAGCACUUUGAAAAGAGGGUGAAACAGCACGUGAAAUUGUUGAAAGGGAAGCGCUUGCAACCAGAGUCGUCCGCGGGGGCUCCACCGACCCUCGGGCCCGGUGCACUCCCCCGCGGCCGAGCCAGCAUCAGCUCGGCCGGUCGGAUAAAGGCCGUGGGAAUGUGACACCCUCGGGUGUGUUAUAGCCCGCGGCACAAUACGGCCUGGCCGGGCUGAGGUCAGCGCCUUUGGCACGGAUGCUGGCGUAAUGGUUGUCAGCGGCCCGUCUUGAAACACGGACCAAGGAGUCUAACAUCUAUGCGAGUGUUCGGGUGUCAAACCCGUGAGCGGAAUGAAAGUGAACGGAGGUGGGAGCCCUCGGGCGCACCAUCGACCGAUCCGGAUGUCUUCGGAUGGAUUUGAGUAUGAGCAUAGCUGUUGGGACCCGAAAGAUGGUGAACUAUGCGUGAAUAGGGUGAAGCCAGAGGAAACUCUGGUGGAGGCUCGCAGCGGUUCUGACGUGCAAAUCGAUCGUCAAAUUUGCGCAUAGGGGCGAAAGACUUAUCGAACCAUCUAGUAGCUGGUUCCUGCCGAAGUUUCCCUCAGGAUAGCAGUAACGGAAUUGAGUUUUAUGAGGUAAAGCGAAUGAUUAGAGGCCUGGGGGUUGAAACAACCUUCACCUAUUCUCAAACUUUAAAUAUGUAAGAAGCCCUUGUUGCUUUGUUGAACGUGGGCAUUCGAAUCGAUCGUUACUAGUGGGCCAUUUUUGGUAAGCAGAACUGGCGAUGCGGGAUGAACCGAACGCGGGGUUACGGUGCCAGAGUGCACGCUCAUCAGACACCACAAAAGGUGUUAGUUCAUCUGGACAGCAGGACGGUGGCCAUGGAAGUCGGAAUCCGCUAAGGAGUGUGUAACAACUCACCUGCCGAAUGAACUAGCCCUGAAAAUGGAUGGCGCUCAAGCGUGCCACCUAUACCCCGCCGCCCGGGCAGGCUCGAGGCCCGGGCGAGUAGGCAGGCGUGGGGGUCCGUGACGAAGCCCUGGGCGUGAGCCCGGGUCGAACGGCCCCCAGUGCAGAUCUUGGUGGUAGUAGCAAAUACUCAAAUGAGAACUUUGAGGACUGAAGUGGGGAAAGGUUCCGUGUGAACAGCAGUUGGACACGGGUUAGUCGAUCCUAAGGGGCAGGGUGAUCCCGUUGGAUGUGCGCGCUCGCGCGCCGCCCCCCGAAAGGGAAGCCGGUCAAUGUUCCGGCACCUGGAUGUGGACUCUCCACGGCAACGUAACUGAAGGCGGAGACGACGGCGGGGGCCCUGGGAAGAGUUCUCUUUUCUUCUUAACGGUCUGUCACCCUGAAAUCGGUUUGUCCGGAGCUAGGGUCUGGUGGCCGGAAGAGCCUCGCACCUCUGCGGGGUCCGGUGCGCCCCCGACGUCCCUUGAAAAUCCGCCCGAGGGAAUAGCGUUCACGCCAGGUCGUACUCAUAACCC
Molecule: ribosomal RNA, 1805 nt
Filed under: Kirschsteiniothelia aethiops
Lineage: Eukaryota; Fungi; Ascomycota; Dothideomycetes; Kirschsteiniotheliales; Kirschsteiniotheliaceae
Description: eukaryotic LSU rRNA
Rfam family: Eukaryotic large subunit ribosomal RNA
Source: RNAcentral